UUAAGUUAAUAAGGGCGCACGGUGGAUGCCUUGGCACUAGAAGCCGAUGAAGGACGUGACUAACGACGAAAUGCUUUGGGGAGUUGUAAGUAAACAUUGAUCCAGAGAUGUCCGAAUGGGGGAACCCGGCAUGUGAAGCAUGUCACUCAUUACUGUUAAGGUAAUGAAGAGGAAGACGCAGUGAACUGAAACAUCUAAGUAGCUGCAGGAAGAGAAAGCAAACGCGAUUGCCUUAGUAGCGGCGAGCGAAACGGCAAGAGGGCAAACCGAUGUGUUUACACAUCGGGGUUGUAGGACUGCGUUGUGGGACGCAAGAUUAUAGAAGAAUUACCUGGGAAGGUAAGCCAAAGAGAGUAAUAGCCUCGUAAUCGAAAUAAUCUUAAACCCUAGCAGUAUCCUGAGUACGGCGAGACACGAGAAAUCUCGUCGGAAUCCGGGAGGACCAUCUCCCAACCCUAAAUACUCUCUAGUGACCGAUAGUGAACCAGUACCGUGAGGGAAAGGUGAAAAGCACCCCGGGAGGGGAGUGAAAUAGAACCUGAAACCGUGUGCCUACAACAAGUUCGAGCCCGUUAAUGGGUGAGAGCGUGCCUUUUGUAGAAUGAACCGGCGAGUUACGAUAUGAUGCGAGGUUAAGUUGAAGAGACGGAGCCGUAGGGAAACCGAGUCUUAAUAGGGCGCUUUAGUAUCAUGUCGUAGACCCGAAACCAUGUGACCUACCCAUGAGCAGGGUGAAGGUGAGGUAAAACUCACUGGAGGCCCGAACCAGGGCACGUUGAAAAGUGCUUGGAUGACUUGUGGGUAGCGGAGAAAUUCCAAACGAACUUGGAGAUAGCUGGUUCUCUCCGAAAUAGCUUUAGGGCUAGCGUCGAUGUUAAGUCUCUUGGAGGUAGAGCACUGUUUGAUUGAGGGGUCCAUCCCGGAUUACCAAUAUCAGAUAAACUCCGAAUGCCAAUGAGAUAUAAUCGGCAGUCAGACUGCGAGUGCUAAGAUCCGUAGUCGAAAGGGAAACAGCCCAGACCACCAGCUAAGGUCCCAAAAUAUAUGUUAAGUGGAAAAGGAUGUGGGGUUGCACAGACAACUAGGAUGUUAGCUUAGAAGCAGCUAUUCAUUCAAAGAGUGCGUAAUAGCUCACUAGUCGAGUGACCCUGCGCCGAAAAUGUACCGGGGCUAAAACAUAUUACCGAAGCUGUGGAUACCUAUUAUAGGUAUGGUAGGAGAGCGUUCUAUGUGUGAAGAAGGUGUACCGUGAGGAGCGCUGGAACGCAUAGAAGUGAGAAUGCCGGUAUGAGUAGCGAAAGACAGGUGAGAAUCCUGUCCACCGUAAGACUAAGGUUUCCAGGGGAAGGCUCGUCCGCCCUGGGUUAGUCGGGACCUAAGGAGAGACCGAAAGGUGUAUCCGAUGGCCAACAGGUUGAUAUUCCUGUACUAGAGUAUAUAGUGAAGGAGGGACGCAGUAGGCUAACUAAAGCGUGCGAUUGGAAGAGCACGUCUAAGCAGUGAGGUGUGAUAUGAGUCAAAUGCUUGUAUCUCUAACAUUGAGCUGUGAUGGGGAGCGAAGUUAAGUAGCGAAGUUAGUGAUGUCACACUGCCAAGAAAAGCUUCUAGCGUUAAUUAUACUCUACCCGUACCGCAAACCGACACAGGUAGUCGAGGCGAGUAGCCUCAGGUGAGCGAGAGAACUCUCGUUAAGGAACUCGGCAAAAUGGCCCCGUAACUUCGGGAGAAGGGGCGCUGGCUUUAAGUCAGCCGCAGUGAAUAGGCCCAAGCAACUGUUUAUCAAAAACACAGCUCUCUGCUAAAUCGUAAGAUGAUGUAUAGGGGGUGACGCCUGCCCGGUGCUGGAAGGUUAAGAGGAGCGCUUAGCGUAAGCGAAGGUGUGAAUUGAAGCCCCAGUAAACGGCGGCCGUAACUAUAACGGUCCUAAGGUAGCGAAAUUCCUUGUCGGGUAAGUUCCGACCCGCACGAAAGGCGUAAUGAUUUGGGCACUGUCUCAACAAUGCACCCGGUGAAAUUGAAAUACCAGUGAAGAUGCUGGUUACCUGCGCCAGGACGGAAAGACCCCAUGGAGCUUUACUCCAGCUUGAUACUGGGAUUCGGUACUGCAUGUACAGGAUAGGUGGGAGACUGAGAACUAUGAACGCCAGUUUGUAGGGAGUCGCUGUUGGGAUACCACCCUUGCGGUAUUGGAUUUCUAACCUGCAGCCGUGAACCGGCAGCUUGUAAAAUUCCGGUGGAAAGAAUACAGUUGCCUCCAGCAUACGCCAUCUUUUCAAGGACAAUGACCUCUGCCCCCUGUUGGGCAGCACGGACUGAAGCUGAAAGUCCGGACAAUCCAGCACCGAUAACCAAAACAUCAGCCGUUGUUUUCACUUCUGUCUUUGCGGUCGACGGCGCCGUUGGCUGGGCGUCCUGAUUCUGCGGUGCCGAUGAACAGCCGGUGGAUGCCAUCAACAGCGCACUCAGAAGCAGGAUAAAACUCUUUUUUCCAAAACACAUAACACAUUUCCUCCCUUCGAUACGAUUAACUUGUGUAUCGUUGGACAAAGUAUAAGCGUUAUACAAGCUUGAAGGUCAAGUCUUAUUUCUGUUCCAUUUCCUCAUCCUGAAUAGGAAUCCAGACGUCAUAGUAAUGAUUGAUUGUGUUAUUUUCGCCCAUAACCCGCGCUAUGCUUCGGCCUAAAAUAUCUCCGGCCAAAACAAAAGCGUGUUUUUUUAAAUAGCUGAAAGCGGGUUGAAGGUUUUCGUAAUGCAAAAAGACUUGAUCCUCAAUCCGGAAGAUCAUGUGAACACAGGAUGCGGCCGGAUAAUAGACGCUGUCCUGACGGUCCAGGCCUAAGCUUUCCGCCAUUUCGGCUUCCAUCGCAAAGCCCCAAUGCAGAUGA
This 2885-nucleotide ribosomal RNA is filed under the name human gut metagenome. RNAcentral's name for it is "bacterial LSU rRNA". The stretch from base 1 to 2537 matches the Rfam family "Bacterial large subunit ribosomal RNA". The record is from RNAcentral.